This 997-nucleotide small RNA is filed under the name Pan troglodytes (chimpanzee). RNAcentral's name for it is "processed transcript". Lineage: Eukaryota; Metazoa; Chordata; Mammalia; Primates; Hominidae. The record is from RNAcentral.
AUCAUUCCUAGAACUGAAGUUGAAAAGGCCAUCAGGAAGUCCCGGAGCCGUAUCAAUGAUGCUUUCCGUCUGAAUGACAACAGCCUGGAGUUUCUGGGGAUACAGCCAACACUUGGACCUCCUAACCAGCCCCCUGUUUCCAUAUGGCUGAUUGUUUUUGGAGUUGUGAUGGGAGUGAUAGUGGUUGGCAUUGUCAUCCUGAUCUUCACUGGGAUCAGAGAUCGAAAGAAGAAAAAUAAAGCAAGAAGUGAAGAAAAUCCUUAUGCCUCCGUCGAUACUAGCAAAGGAGAAAAUAAUCCAGGAUUCCAAAACACUGAUGAUGUUCAGACUUCCUUUUAGAAAAAUCUAUGUUUUUCCUCUUGAGGUGAUUUUGUUGUAUGUAAAUGUUAAUUUCAUGGUAUAGAAAAUAUAAGAUGAUAAAGAUAUCAUUAAAUGUCAAAACUAUGACUCUGUUCAGAAAAAAAAUUGUCCAAAGACAACAUGGCCAAGGAGAGAGCAUCUUCAUUGACAUUGCUUUCAGUAUUUAUUUCUGUCUCUGGAUUUGACUUCUGUUCUGUUUCUUAAUAAGGAUUUUGUAUUAGAGUAUAUUAGGGAAAGUGUGUAUUUGGUCUCACAGGCUGUUCAGGGAUAAUCUAAAUGUAAAUGUCGUUGAAUUUCUGAAGUUGAAAACAAGGAUAUAUCAUUGGAGCAAGUGUUGGACCUUGUAUGGAAUAUGGAUGGAUCACUUGUAGAGGACAUUGCUUUUUCACUUCCAAGCUGCUUGAUCAACAUCUCCCUGACAACACAAAACUAGAGCCAGGGGCCUCCGUGAACUCCCAGAGCAUGCCUGAUAGAAACUCAUUUCUACUGUUCUCUAACUGUGGAGUGAAUGGAAAUUCCAACUGUAUGUUCACCCUCUGAAGUGGGUACCCAGUCUCUUAAAUCUUUUGUAUUUGCUCACAGUGUUUGAGUAGUGCUGAGCACAAAGCAGACACUCAAUAAAUGCUAGAUUUACACA